GGGGUCGGUAUACAGGUGGUGCAUGGUUGUCGUCAGCUCGUGUCGUGAGAUGUUGGGUUAAGUCCCGCAACGAGCGCAACCCUCGUUCCAUGUUGCCAGCACGUGAUGGUGGGGACUCAUGGGAGACUGCCGGGGUCAACUCGGAGGAAGGUGGGGAUGACGUCAAAUCAUCAUGCCCCUUAUGUCUUGGGCUUCACGCAUGCUACAAUGGCCGGUACAAAGGGUUGCGAUACUGUGAGGUGGAGCUAAUCCCAAAAAGCCGGUCUCAGUUCGGAUUGAGGUCUGCAACUCGACCUCAUGAAGUCGGAGUCGCUAGUAAUCGCAGAUCAGCAACGCUGCGGUGAAUACGUUCCCGGGCCUUGUACACACCGCCCGUCAAGUCACGAAAGUCGGUAACACCCGAAGCCGGUGGCCCAACCCUUUGUGGAGGGAGCCGUCGAAGGUGG
Molecule: ribosomal RNA, 446 nt
Filed under: Kocuria sp. m7-24
Lineage: Bacteria; Bacillati; Actinomycetota; Actinomycetes; Micrococcales; Micrococcaceae
Description: bacterial SSU rRNA
Rfam family: Bacterial small subunit ribosomal RNA
Source: RNAcentral